GACGAACGCUGGCGGCGUGCCUAACACAUGCAAGUCGAGCGGAGGUAGUUUGAUGGUAACUGAUAACUACUUUAGCGGCGGACGGGUGAGUAACACGUGGGCAACCUGCCUCGAAGUGGGGGAUAACACCGAGAAAUCGGUGCUAAUACCGCAUAACAUACAGACACCACCUGGUGACUGUAUCAAAGGAGAAAUCCGCUUUGAGAUGGGCCCGCGGCUGAUUAGCUAGUUGGUGAGGUAAUGGCUCACCAAGGCGACGAUCAGUAGCCGACCUGAGAGGGUGACCGGCCACACUGGAACUGAGACACGGUCCAGACUCCUACGGGUGGCAG
RNAcentral lists this ribosomal RNA (332 nucleotides) under uncultured Bacillota bacterium. Its description in RNAcentral is "bacterial SSU rRNA". It matches the Rfam family "Bacterial small subunit ribosomal RNA", at positions 28 to 351 of the family's 1533-position model. Lineage: Bacteria; Bacillati; Bacillota. The record is from RNAcentral.